Molecule: ribosomal RNA, 803 nt
Filed under: uncultured bacterium
Lineage: Bacteria
Description: bacterial SSU rRNA
Rfam family: Bacterial small subunit ribosomal RNA
Source: RNAcentral
AGAGUUUGAUCCUGGCUCAGGAUGAACGCUGGCGGCGUGCCUAACACAUGCAAGUCGAACGAAGACUGUGCGGCGGAACUCUCCGGAGGGAAGACGCGCAGGACUGAGUGGCGGACGGGUGAGUAACGCGUGGGUAACCUGCCCUGUACAGGGGGACAACAGCUGGAAACGGCUGCUAAUACCGCAUAAGCCUACAGUACCGCAUGGUACAGCAGGAAAAACUCCGGUGGUACAGGAUGGGCCCGCGUCUGAUUAGUUAGUUGGCAGGGUAACGGCCUACCAAGACAACGAUCAGUAGCCGGCUUGAGAGAGUGGACGGCCACAUUGGGACUGAGACACGGCCCAAACUCCUACGGGAGGCAGCAGUGGGGAAUAUUGCACAAUGGGGGGAACCCUGAUGCAGCAACGCCGCGUGAGUGAAGAAGUAUUUCGCUAUGUAAAGCUCUAUCAGCAGGGAAGAAAAUGACGGUACCUGACUAAGAAGCUCCGGCUAAAUACGUGCCAGCAGCCGCGGUAAUACGUAUGGAGCAAGCGUUAUCCGGAUUUACUGGGUGUAAAGGGAGCGCAGGCGGUACGGCAAGUCCGAUGUGAAAGCCCGGGGCUCAACCCCGGGACUGCAUUGGAAACUGCCGCACUAGAGUGCCGGAGAGGUAAGUGGAAUUCCUAGUGUAGCGGUGAAAUGCGUAGAUAUUAGGAGGAACACCAGUGGCGAAGGCGGCUUACUGGACGGUAACUGACGCUGAGGCUCGAAAGCGUGGGGAGCAAACAGGAUUAGAUACCCUGGUAGUCCACGCCGUAAACGA